UGUGUAGGCGGUUGCUUAAGUUUGGUGUGAAAUCUCCCGGCUCAACUGGGAGGGUGCGCCGAAUACUGAGUGACUCGAGUGCGGGAGAGGAGAGUGGAAUUCCUGGUGUAGCGGUGAAAUGCGUAGAUAUCAGGAGGAACACCGGCGGUGUAGACGGCUCUCUGGACCGUAACUGACGCUGAGACACGAAAGCGUGGGUAGCAAACA
RNAcentral lists this ribosomal RNA (207 nucleotides) under uncultured bacterium. RNAcentral describes it as "partial 16S ribosomal RNA". It matches the Rfam family "Bacterial small subunit ribosomal RNA", at positions 568 to 774 of the family's 1533-position model. The record is from RNAcentral.